CCUGCUACUAGGAAUUCCUACUAGCAUAUACAUCAGUAAUCUUCAUUUCAAAAUAAUUAUUUUCAAUAUGAUGCCUUAAUAUACUUUUCUUUGCUCAGUAUAUUUUUAUUUCUGGAGCUCUUCAAAACUAAGAGAACAAGCAUCAGACUGCAAAGACAAAGUACAUCAAAUACACAAACUGAUUUUGAAUCCUGAUUCAGGAACUUAUGUUGGAAAAUCUGAGAUCAGAAGCUGAUUUCAGGGACUGUCUCCACAGGAGGAAGGAAAGUUUCACUGCCGUAUCUGCUCCUCCUCCUCUCCUUAGGAAAUGUAAAUUCCAAUGGCUGCAUUUGGUUAUGCGCAGCAUGACUGAAGUCACAUGUUCAUAUCAUGAAGACUUCGAAAAUGUCAUGUAGUAAUGGCAGACACAGAAGUGGUGUCAGUCAUGAAAAUAAGCUCCAUCUAGUCCCUCUGAUCCCUGAAACUGGACAGAAUCAUCAGACGACAGAUGCGAGAGCCGUGGUGACAGCCAGCAAAUGCUAGCAUAGCCUCGCUAGUCCCACCUCCUGUUACCAGAAGUGGUCAGCGUUAGGUACUUUGGAGAAAGAUGCAAUGAAUCCUGCAGAAGGCACAUACAGGAUAAACAAAAUGAAAAUCUUAUCCUAAAUUCUAAAAAUUAAAAAUUAGCCUAAACUCUGAAGACUGAAAUUCUGUAUCCCUUUCAUACUUUUUAACAUUGUAACACUGAUAUUUUAACCUAUACAACCCUACAAUUUUUCCUUGUUCUCAGAGCUGUUUACUUCCACUAUAUGAAGUAAAAAAUGUUAGUCGUCUUAUGCAUUCUGUGAAAACUAUUUCCUUUUAUCAAGUUUUAGUUUUUUCUAUUAUUACCAUUCUUCUAUUCCUUUUUUAUGUGACAAGAAGAAACUCCCGAUGUAUUUCUCCUGACCAUUUGUGACUUUUGUACACUUUGAUCUAGCUUUUUUAUCUUUCUUCCUACAUUAUACAAUACUAUUUUUUUUUAAUCUCUUUGUUGUCUUUUUCCAGAGACCUCAAUAUCCAGAUUGGCCUUCUUCAAGUUGCUUGAAAAUCCGCCGGCUCCUUUCUGACAGCAGAUGGACAGAACUGCUCACAGCAUUCCAAAGACCAAAAGUAACUGCAAGAAAAGAAACGUCUGAUGUAUGAGAAAAUAUGAAAGGGAAGAAACUGAAAAAAUCCGUUCUCCUAUAAAGCACGCUUCUGUGAUGGGAUAUUCGGCUUUGAAUGGGGCGAUACCGAGCUGAGGCACACGGCACAGCAGCUGAGGAGGGCACCAGACGCUGCUCAGGAGGCAGGGGAUGAAACCACAGGCAGCGAGGGCCGGCAGUCUGGGAGCGCAGAGGAGAGAGUUGUUGGUGCCCAGUGCUGUCCCGCACUGAAGGCUGGCUGGGUGCUGGGCCGGGGUCCGUGCUGGUUUCCCUGGGUCAGGGCCGGUGGAGACUCCUGGCUGUCAGUGCCUGGUCUCUUGACUCUGACGUAACUAGACCAUACCCACAGAAAUGUCGGCAUUUCAACGUCAGUGCCCUCAGAUUUCUCACAAGAAGGCAAAAGCGUCUGGACAAACGAGAUGUGCAGUGUGCUUGAGCAGUUGUGCUGUAGCAUGCGAGCUCAAACGGACUGAACUGAACCUCAUUAUUUACACACAUUUCAACAAAGAAGGGGGUCUCCCCUUUCACUUCACUCACUUCAGCUCAGCAUAUGCAGGUGAAUAGAGGAACACAGACUGGCUGGUCAGAAAAUACUUCCAAACAGCAUGAGAAAGACUAAUUCACAGCCUACAGACAAUUAGACAGGAUUAACUUGCAUAAUGAUAUUACUGUUGAUUAUAAUGGGAGUAAGAACAUUUAUGUGACAGAUACAUUAUGCAAUUAUAUGGUGUAUAAUUAUAUGGUAUUACUGUAGUGUCAGUUAUAAGGAUGUAAAUCGCUUACAUAUAUUAGUCUGUGUCUUUGGAGAAAACAAAAAGAGGCUGAUACUUUUCUUCCUGCUCGAUUCCCGUAGAGAAGAUGAUACUUGACUAGUUCUCAAAAUGUCUGUGGAAACACAGGAAAAAGUGCUACGGCUUUUUACAUUUUAUCUUUAAUAUUCUGUUAUUUAAGUGUGUAAUAUUUCAUAUGCACCCAAAGUUUUAAUGAUCAUGCCUUCCACUGCACCUGUAUAAGAAAAGAAAGGAAAGGAGAUUGACAAUUUUGGCAGUGAGCAUUUUGAAGGGAAAACCACAAGCAAAUUCAGCACAGGAAAGACCCAGAAGAGGAAAAUAAGAUACAGAAGAAAAAUCUGAAUGUUUGACUGAAAAGAAACGAAUAGACUUUUAUGGAGAGGAAAGCAGACAAGCUUUGACUAUUAUCUUUAAGCAGGAGAGAGAACAAUCAAAACUGACCUUACAGCAUGUGAGCUUUGGUGAUGCAGAAGAGGUGGUGGUAUUACUGCAACACAGGAUGAGAAAAUGAAGAGCACUACUGCAGAACAGUGAAGUCAGUUUUGGCUAAGCCAAACGUGAAAAGCCGGUCAAUCAGCCAAGAUUAAAGAUCUGAGAACCUCUAAAGGACACAUGAUUAAACGGAGCGCAGAAAGGACUAGCGUGGAUAAAUGCAAUUGAAAGUUGUCAGAAAUGAGUGAUACAUAAAUCCUCGUGAACAGCUGAAGCCACUUUUGAACACGGAUUUAGGGCUGGAAGACUUAACCUCCAUGCGCUGCCCAAGGGCAAGAUUCCUUGCCACUCUCUGACUGUUCUUUUUUUCUUUCUUUGCGGGAGGGGGGGUGAAGCACUUUGUGCUGAAUUGCUGCUUUUGGAAGGUUUUACUCAUCUUAAUCAUUGAUGAUCAACUGAGCAAACUCAUAGGAUGAGUAAUAGGUUUUCUUAACUAUAAAAAUGAUGGCUAAAUAAAGGAACCGAUUAAAAUGUA
Dromaius novaehollandiae (emu) is the source of this 2924-nucleotide long non-coding RNA. RefSeq lists it as uncharacterized. The transcript is spliced from 7 exons. The record is from RefSeq and is a predicted model, not a curated record. Lineage: Eukaryota; Metazoa; Chordata; Aves; Casuariiformes; Dromaiidae.